RNAcentral lists this ribosomal RNA (497 nucleotides) under uncultured bacterium. RNAcentral's name for it is "partial 16S ribosomal RNA". It matches the Rfam family "Bacterial small subunit ribosomal RNA", at positions 28 to 507 of the family's 1533-position model. The record is from RNAcentral.
GAUGAACGCUGGCGGCGUGCCUAAUACAUGCAAGUCGAGCGAACAGACGAGGAGCUUGCUCCUCUGAUGUUAGCGGCGGACGGGUGAGUAACACGUGGAUAACCUACCUAUAAGACUGGGAUAACUUCGGGAAACCGGAGCUAAUACCGGAUAACAUGUUGAAACGCAUGGUUCAACAGUGAAAGACGGUCUUGCUGUCACUUAUAGAUGGAUCCGCGCCGCAUUAGCUAGUUGGUAAGGUAACGGCUUACCAAGGCAACCAUGCGUAGCCGACCUGAGAGGGUGAUCGGCCAAACUGGAACUGGGACACGGUCCAGACUCCUACGGGAGGCAGCAGUAGGGAAUCUUCCGCAAUGGGCGAAAGCCUGACGGAGCAACGCCGCGUGAGUGAAGAAGGUCUUCGGAUCGUAAAACUCUGUUAUUAGGGAAGAACAAAUGUGUAAGUAACUAUGCACGUCUUGACGGUACCUAAUCAGAAAGCCACGGCUAACUACGUG